UGCCAUUUCCCUUUCCUGCAAACAGAAGUCAUAACCUUAAAAUAAUUAGUUUGAUGAUGUUGCAACCACUAGUAGGGUAAAUGCAUAUCACAAGGGGAAAAGCUGAUAAGAUACAAGGCCUUCAUUAAGAUGCCAUUUUAUUACACUACAAGUAAUUAUAGUCCACAGGCCAGAUGAGUCCUGCAAUACUUAACUCAGAAAGUUUCUACUAAAAAUUCUGUGUGAAGAUGGAGAAUGUCACCUAGUUCUUUUCCUAAAUCACAAUGUUACUUGCUAUAAACUCAUGCAAUAAAGGAAUCUAGCAACCAACCAUCAUUACAGCAAUGUGUUACUCAAAUAUAACAUUUCAAAUAAACAAAUUAUAGAACUAUCAGUUUGUCUUCUCAUCCUUCUAAAGAAAUCUGAACCUGAACAACUCACCUGUUGUGUCCUAUCACCAUGAA
RNAcentral lists this unclassified non-coding RNA (443 nucleotides) under Hevea brasiliensis (rubber tree). The record is from RNAcentral. Lineage: Eukaryota; Viridiplantae; Streptophyta; Magnoliopsida; Malpighiales; Euphorbiaceae.